UGAGGAGAGAUUCAGCCAUGGCAGGAUGUAUGAAGUGAAUCUUUAAGCUGGUGAAGCACCUGAAUCGUGGUUGUCUUUGUCUCAGAACAAGUUCAGUACUUGCAGUGUGGCGUCAGCCCUGGAGAUACUGUGGGUGGUGCUGAGUGUCGGGGAGGUCCUGUGGACCCGCUGCGUAGAUCAGAUGGAUAAAAGCCUCCAGGCCUCUCUUCCUUGGGGAGGUGAAUCGUGGCAGGAUGAUGCCUGUUCCAACAGCAGGGUCAGACUGAGGGAGCAGGAGGCUUUCCUCAUGGCUUUCCAUGACACAGUACCCCAGCUGGUAUUUUCACUGAGACCAAAGAAGCAGAUUUGGACCCCUCGGAGUGUGACAUUGAGGGAAUUUGUC
Long non-coding RNA from Falco peregrinus (peregrine falcon), 382 nucleotides. RefSeq lists it as uncharacterized. The transcript is spliced from 3 exons. The record is from RefSeq and is a predicted model, not a curated record. NCBI's taxonomy places the organism in Eukaryota, Metazoa, Chordata, Aves, Falconiformes, Falconidae.